GCCGGUCCUCGGUAGUGGCCCCCGGGUGGUUCCACCCCCGGUGGCUUCGAUCGAAGACCGGC
RNAcentral lists this non-coding RNA (62 nucleotides) under Actinacidiphila cocklensis. RNAcentral describes it as "Streptomyces cocklensis Actino-pnp". It matches the Rfam family "Actino-pnp RNA". Lineage: Bacteria; Bacillati; Actinomycetota; Actinomycetes; Kitasatosporales; Streptomycetaceae. The record is from RNAcentral.